This 253-nucleotide ribosomal RNA is filed under the name uncultured bacterium. RNAcentral's name for it is "partial 16S ribosomal RNA". It matches the Rfam family "Bacterial small subunit ribosomal RNA", at positions 524 to 776 of the family's 1533-position model. The record is from RNAcentral.
UACGGAGGGUGCGAGCGUUGUCCGGAAUCAUUGGGCGUAAAGGGCGCGUAGGCGGCCCUCCUUGUCGCGUGUGAAAGCCCCGGCUCAACCUGGAGACGCCACUUGAUACUGCUGUGACUGGAGUCCGGUAGGGGAGCGUGGAAUUCCUGGUGUAGCGGUGAAAUGCGCAGAUAUCAGGAGGAACACCAGCGGCGAAGGCGGCGCUCUGGGCCGGUACUGACACUGAGGAGCGAAAGCGUGGGUAGCAAACAGG